CCCUUAGAUGUUCUGGGCAGCACGCGCGCUACAAUGGUCUUCGCAAACGGAUGCAUUCUCGAAGGAGAAUGCCAAUCUUGGAAUCUAUGCCUUGGUCGGGACAGUUGCUUGCAAUUUUUCGACUCGAACCAGGAAUUCCUUGUAAUCGUGAUUCAUCACAUCACGAUGAAUACGUCCCUGCCCUUUGCCCACACCGCCCGUCGCUCCUACCGAUCGAAGAGUUAGGUGAAUUGUUUUGAUCGAUAAGAUUUGACUAUGGUCAACUCUCGUUGUGAAAUUCUGUGAAUCUGACUGUUUAGAGGAAGGAAAAGUCGUAACA
RNAcentral lists this ribosomal RNA (319 nucleotides) under uncultured eukaryote. RNAcentral describes it as "partial 18S ribosomal RNA". It matches the Rfam family "Eukaryotic small subunit ribosomal RNA", at positions 1470 to 1796 of the family's 1831-position model. The record is from RNAcentral.